AGUGAACGCUGGCGGUAGGCCUAACACAUGCAAGUCGAACGGCAGCACAGGAGAGCUUGCUCUCUGGGUGGCGAGUGGCGGACGGGUGAGGAAUACAUCGGAAUCUACUCUGUCGUGGGGGAUAACGUAGGGAAACUUACGCUAAUACCGCAUACGACCUACGGGUGAAAGCAGGGGACCUUCGGGCCUUGCGCGAUUGAAUGAGCCGAUGUCGGAUUAGCUCGUUGGCGGGGUAAAGGCCCACCAAGGCGACGAUCCGUAGCUGGUCUGAGAGGAUGAUCAGCCACACUGGAGCUGAGACACGGUCCGGGCUGCUACGGGAGGCGGCAGUGGGGAAUAGUGGACAAUGGGCGCAAGCCUGAUCCGGCCAUACCGCGUGGGUGAAGAAGGCCUUCGGGUUGUAAAGCCCUUUUGUUGGGAAAGAAAUCCAGCUGGCUAAUACCCGGUUGGGAUGACGGUACCCAAAGAAUAAGCACCGGCUAACUUCGUGCCAGCCGCCGCAGUAA
This 506-nucleotide ribosomal RNA is filed under the name uncultured bacterium. RNAcentral describes it as "partial 16S ribosomal RNA". It matches the Rfam family "Bacterial small subunit ribosomal RNA", at positions 29 to 523 of the family's 1533-position model. The record is from RNAcentral.